Molecule: transfer RNA, 76 nt
Filed under: Gammaproteobacteria bacterium
Lineage: Bacteria; Pseudomonadati; Pseudomonadota; Gammaproteobacteria
Description: tRNA-Thr
Rfam family: tRNA
About the family: Transfer RNA (tRNA) molecules are approximately 80 nucleotides in length. Their secondary structure includes four short double-helical elements and three loops (D, anti-codon, and T loops).
Source: RNAcentral
GCCGGGAUAGCUCAGUUGGUAGAGCACCGCAUUCGUAAUGCGGUUGUCCGGAGUUCAAAUCUCCGUUCCGGCACCA